This 1436-nucleotide long non-coding RNA is filed under the name Ananas comosus (pineapple). RNAcentral describes it as "long non-coding RNA (ACOM_LNC040012)". Lineage: Eukaryota; Viridiplantae; Streptophyta; Magnoliopsida; Poales; Bromeliaceae. The record is from RNAcentral.
CUUGUUCGAUAGAAUGACAAAAAGUACUUGUUGCUAAGUUAUACUGUUAUGGUGCAACUGAGUAGUCAAAUGUUGUUCUGUUUUUGGUUCUUUUGAACGUUGAUAUCGAUUCGUUCCAAAUUUACACUCUCGGGGCAUAAUAGAAGAAUAUAAUUAGGUUUUGCUCUUUGUUCAAUUGAAUGAGAAAAAGUACUAGUUGCGAAGUUAUACUGUUAGGGCUCAACUGAGUAGUCUAACUUUGUUCCGGUUUUAGUUCUUCUGAACGUUCACAUCGAUUCGUUCCAAAUUUACACUCUCGGGGCAUAAUAGAAGAAUAUAAUUAGGUUUUGCUCUUUGUUCGAUUGAAUGAGAAAACGUACUAGUUGCAAAGUUAUACUGUUACGGCGCAACUGAGUAGUCUAAUUUUGUUCCGGUUUUGGUUAUUUUGAUCGAUUACAUUGAUUCGUUCCAAAUUUACACUCUCGGGGCAUAAUAGAAAGUUUUUACUCCUAGUUCGAUAGAAUGAGAAAAAGAACUCGUAACUAAGCUAUACUGUUAUGGCGCAACUGAGUAGUCUAAUGUUGUUUCGGUUUUGGUUCUUGUGAACGUUGACAUCGAUUCGUUCCAAAUUUACUCUCUCGGGGCAUAAUAGAAGAAUAUAAUUAGGUUUUGCUCUUUGUUCGAUUGAAUGAGAAAAAGUACUAGUUGCAAAGUUAUACUGUUAGGGCUCAACUGAGUAGUCUAACUUUGUUCCUGUUUUGGUUCUUGUGAACGUUUACAUCGAUUCGUUCCAAAUUUACACUCUCGGGCAUAAUAGAAAACUUUUACUCCUUGUUCAAAAGAAUAAGAAAAAGUACUCGUUGCUAAGUUAUACUGUUAUGGCGCAACUGAGUAGUCUAACGUAGUUUCGGUUUUGGUUCUUGUGAACGUUGACAUCGAUUCGUUCCAAAUUUACACUCUCGGGGCAUAAUAGAAAGCUUUUACUCCUUAUUCGAUAGAAUGAGAAAAAGUACUCGUUGCAAAGUUAUACUGUUAUGGCACAACUGAGAAGUUUAAUAUUGUUCCGGUUUUGGUUCCUGUAAACGUUGUCAUCGAUUCGUUCCAAAUUUACACUCCCGGUGCAUAAUAGAACAAUAAAAUUAGGUUUUGCUCUUUGUUCGAUUGAAUGAGAAAAAGUACUUCUUGAAAAGUUAUACUGUUAGGGCUCAACUAAGUAGUCUAACUUUGUUCCGUUUUUUGUUCUUGUGAACGUUUACAUCGAUUCGUUCCAAAUUUACACUCUCGGGGCAUAAGAGAACACUAUAAUUAGGUUUUGCUCUUUGUUCGAUUGAAUGAGAAAAAGUACUAGUUGCAAAGUUAUACUGUUAGGGCUCAACUGAGUAGUCUAAUUUUGUUCCGGUUUUGGUUCUUGUGAACGUUUACAUCGAUUCGUUCCAAAUUUACACUCUCGGGGCAUA